This 252-nucleotide ribosomal RNA is filed under the name uncultured microorganism. RNAcentral's name for it is "partial 16S ribosomal RNA". It matches the Rfam family "Bacterial small subunit ribosomal RNA", at positions 524 to 776 of the family's 1533-position model. The record is from RNAcentral.
UACGUAGGUCCCGAGCGUUGUCCGGAUUUAUUGGGCGUAAAGCGAGCGCAGGUGGUUUAAUAAGUCUGAUGUAAAAGGCAGUGGCUCAACCAUUGUGUGCAUUGGAAACUGUUAGACUUGAGUGCAGUAGAGGAGAGUGGAAUUCCAUGUGUAGCGGUGAAAUGCGUAGAUAUAUGGAGGAACACCGGUGGCGAAAGCGGCUCUCUGGUCUGUAACUGACGCUGAGGCUCGAAAGCGUGGGGAGCAAACAGG